RNAcentral lists this ribosomal RNA (513 nucleotides) under uncultured bacterium. Its description in RNAcentral is "partial 16S ribosomal RNA". It matches the Rfam family "Bacterial small subunit ribosomal RNA", at positions 28 to 523 of the family's 1533-position model. The record is from RNAcentral.
GAUGAACGCUGGCGGCGUGCCUAAUACAUGCAAGUCGAGCGAACAGACGAGGAGCUUGCUCCUUUGACGUUAGCGGCGGACGGGUGAGUAACACGUGGGUAACCUACCUAUAAGACUGGGAUAACUUCGGGAAACCGGAGCUAAUACCGGAUAAUAUUUCGAACCGCAUGGUUCGAUAGUGAAAGAUGGCUUUGCUAUCACUUAUAGAUGGACCUGCGCCGUAUUAGCUAGUUGGUAAGGUAACGGCUUACCAAGGCAACGAUACGUAGCCGACCUGAGAGGGUGAUCGGCCACACUGGAACUGAGACACGGUCCAGACUCCUACGGGAGGCAGCAGUAGGGCAUCUUCCGCAAUGGGCGAAAGCCUGACGGAGCAACGCCGCGUGAGUGAUGAAGGUCUUCGGAUCGUAAAACUCUGUUAUUAGGGAAGAACAAACGUGUAAGUAACUGUGCACGUCUUGACGGUACCUAAUCAGAAAGCCACGGCUAAUUACGUGCCAGCAGCCGCGGUAA